Molecule: long non-coding RNA, 389 nt
Filed under: Felis catus (domestic cat)
Lineage: Eukaryota; Metazoa; Chordata; Mammalia; Carnivora; Felidae
Description: lncRNA (ENSFCAG00000046338.2)
Source: RNAcentral
AUGGACCCUAAUCCUAUGUGAAAGAUCCAUUCAUCCAUUCAAGUUUGUGUGUAAGAAUUAAUGCUUUUUUUUUUUUUUUUUGAGUUGUCUGGAAAUAUAUCGGCUUUAGCUGCUUGGAAUCAACUGUGUUGUCAUGACAACUAGAUUGCGGUCCAUAGCACCUGGUUUCCUGUGAAGACUCCAGUGUGUGUGACUUUGACCCACUUCUGUUGAGGCAAAUAUCACGAUCAUUCCAUUGCAUUUCAUUUGGUGGAGAAUUUAACUUAAAAUGUAAGAACAACAACAACAACAACAACAACAACAACAAAAACAUGACCAAAUGGUAAGCCAGAAUUUCACAACUUAAUCUCACGUAAAUAUUGUCAACUUAUUUAUUUUUUUUGCUAGCU